Molecule: long non-coding RNA, 1209 nt
Organism: Lathyrus oleraceus (garden pea)
Lineage: Eukaryota; Viridiplantae; Streptophyta; Magnoliopsida; Fabales; Fabaceae
Exons: 3
Source: RefSeq, a predicted model, not a curated record
CAAAAACUUAAGAAAAACAACAAAAAAUCCUGGAGCCGGGCCUUUGCAAUAGACAAGGGGUGUAGGUCCAACAUGAGAAGUGUGGAUAGGAAUUGAUCCGCUUGGGCCUUAACCUAAAACCGGGAUUCGAGCUUCAGAUAGGAAAGAAUGGAUCUCCGAUCUUCUUAUCCACCUGCGUACUAGCCUGGGUCGAAAAUGAGCUGGAGUUUCUCCGAAGGAAUUCAUCGCAUUGUGCGGCCAAGAAGACUCCGACGAAGCUCGCACAAGUCCGUUGCAUGUUCAGAUCCGUAUAACGCUCCUUGUCUCCUUUAGAUUCCAUGUCUUACCUCACGAAUUCAUGUACUCUCCAAUGAAGAAUCAAGAACAACAAUCGGAUUCGUCGGAUACUCUCAACAUUGAAUCGACAUCGAGACCGAGACUGAAUUAACUUCCUUUCUUUUUCUUGUGCGCGAAUUGAAAGAAAUUGAAGAGAGAGUGGUUACCUACCGGAAUCGAUUUGUUGACGGUGCGGUUGGUUGUUCGUUCUGUGAGUUCCUGCAGCAUCGGCUAAACCGAGAGCGAAGAGGGAGAGCGUACUCGUGGCGCAAUGGAGCUUCGAAGAUGGAAAGCAGAAUCGAAGCUGUGGAUUCACCGGUUCAGAUGAUUGAAGAGUGAUAUUGGAUUGAAGGUGAUGAAAUGGAUUGAAGGUUGGUGUGGUGAAGGUUUUGUGAAUGGAGGUUGAAGUGGCGGUUACCGGUUUUUGUGAGUUUGUUACGUUUGUUGAAGGAAUUGAAGAGAGGAAGAAGAAGCCGGAAGCCGAGAAGUGAAGAUUGAAGAAGAAACCUGAUUGAUGCAACUUGGAGCUUAGAAGUAGCUUGGCUUGUAUUGUAGCAGCUUACGCUUGGCUCAUUUGGAAGUUUGGUAUGCGUUUCAACUUGGCGUUGAUUGUGCGUUUGGAGCUGGCUUAUGCGUUUUCCGGUUUGGCUUAUGGCGUGUGGCUCGUAGCUUGUGGGAGCUUGGAAGUAGCUUUUGUUUCACAUUAUUUUUCCUGCACUGCCGUCAUUUUCUGCUACUGUCCUGCGCUUUGAAGCUUCAUUUCCUUUUGAUUAUUUGGUGACUUGGCUUGUCAUUUUAUUAUGGAUUAUGUAAUGGGACUUAGUAAGUCGUAAGCUAAAAACAUGUACUUUGUUAAUAUGGCUAUUGAAAUGGCAAUGCAUUGGAUUUGGUUAA